AUACGGAGGAUGCGAGCGUUAUCCGGAUUUAUUGGGUUUAAAGGGAGCGUAGGCGGGAGCUUAAGUCAGCGGUUAAAUGGUGCGGCUCAACCGUGCCCUGCCGUUGAAACUGGGUUUCUUGAGAGUGCAAGAGGCGGAUGGAAUUCAUGGGGUAGCGGGGAAAUGCUUAGAUAUCAUGAAGAACUCCGAUUGCGAAGGCAGUCCGCUGGGGCACGUCUGACGCUGAUGCUCGAAGGUGCGGGAAUCAAACAGGAUUAGAUACCCUGGUAGUCCGCACGGUAAACGAUGAUUACCCGCUGUCGGCGGCAGACAGUCGGCGGCCAAGCGAAAGCGAUAAGUAAUCCACCUGGGGAGUACGCCGGCAACGGUGAAACUCAAAGGAAUUGACGGGG
Molecule: ribosomal RNA, 392 nt
Filed under: uncultured bacterium
Lineage: Bacteria
Description: partial 16S ribosomal RNA
Rfam family: Bacterial small subunit ribosomal RNA
Source: RNAcentral